This 939-nucleotide ribosomal RNA is filed under the name uncultured bacterium. Its description in RNAcentral is "bacterial SSU rRNA". It matches the Rfam family "Bacterial small subunit ribosomal RNA", at positions 522 to 1472 of the family's 1533-position model. The record is from RNAcentral.
AAUACGAAGGGACCUAGCGUAGUUCGGAAUUACUGGGCUUAAAGAGUUCGUAGGUGGUUAAAAAAGUUGGUGGUGAAAUCCCAGAGCUUAACUCUGGAACUGCCAUCAAAACUUUUUAGCUAGAGUAUGAUAGAGGAAAGCAGAAUUUCUAGUGUAGAGGUGAAAUUCGUAGAUAUUAGAAAGAAUACCAAUUGCGAAGGCAGCUUUCUGGAUCAUUACUGACACUGAGGAACGAAAGCAUGGSCVSCGAAGAGGAUUAGAUACCCUCGUAGUCCAUGCCGUAAACGAUGUGUGUUAGACGUUGGAAAUUUAUUUUCAGUGUCGCAGCGAAAGCGAUAAACACACCGCCUGGGGAGUACGACCGCAAGGUUAAAACUCAAAUGAAUUGACGGGGACCCGCACAAGUAGUGGAGCAUGUGGUUUAAUUCGAAGAUACGCGCAGAACCUUACCAACACUUGACAUGUUCGUUGCGACUUUAAGAGAUUAAAGUUUUCGGUUCGGCCGGACGAAACACAGGUGCUGCAUGGCUGUCGUCAGCUCGUGUCGUGAGAUGUUGGGUUAAGUCCCGCAACGAGCGCAACCCUCACUUUUAGUUGCCAUCAUUAAGUUGGGCACUCUGAAAGAACUGCCAGUGAUAAGCUGGAGGAAGGUGGGGAUGACGUCAAGUCCUCAUGGCCCUUACGUGUUGGGCUACACACGUGCUACAAUGGUAUCUACAACAGGAAGCAAGACUGCGAAGUUAAGCAAAUCCUUAAAAGAUACCUCAGUUCGGAUUGCACUMUGCAACUMGAGUGCAUGAAGCUGGAAUUACUAGUAAUCGUGGAUCAGCGUGCCACGGUGAAUGCGUUCCCGGGUCUUGUACACACCGCCCGUCACACCAUGGGAGUUGGUUCUACCUUAAGGCAAGGUUUCAAACCCUUGACCACGGUAUAGUCAGC